CGUAGGGUGCGAGCGUUAUUCGGAAUCACUGGGCGUAAAGCGUGCGUAGGCUGCUCGGAAAGUUGGGAGUGAAAGCCCAGGGCUCAACCCUGGAAUUGCUUUCAAAACUACCGAGCUCGGAUUCGGGAGAGGAUAGCGGAAUCGUCAGUGUAGCAGUGAAAUGCGUAGAUAUUGACAGGAACACCAGUGGCGCAAGCGGCUAUCUGGACCGACAUCGACGCUGAGGCACGAAAGCGUGGGGAUCAAACAGGAUUAGAUACCCUGGUAGUCCACGCCGUAAACGAUGUGUGUUUGUCGCCGGGGGGUUCACUCUUCGGUGACGCAGCUAACGCGUUAAGCACACCGCCUGGGAAGUACGGUCGCAAGAUUA
This 370-nucleotide ribosomal RNA is filed under the name uncultured organism. RNAcentral's name for it is "bacterial SSU rRNA". It matches the Rfam family "Bacterial small subunit ribosomal RNA", at positions 526 to 896 of the family's 1533-position model. The record is from RNAcentral.